CGUAGGUAAUCUACCUUCGGAUGGGGAAUAACAAUCGGAAACGAUUGCUAAUACCGCAUAAUGCAGCGGCACCUAAUGGUGACAGUUGUUAAAGCGGGGGAUCGAAAGACCUCGCGUCUGAAGAGGAGCCUGCGGCGGAUUAGCUAGUUGGUAAGGUAACGGCUUACCAAGGCGACGAUCCGUAGCCGGCCUGAGAGGGCGGUCGGCCACACUGACACUGACAUACGGGUCAG
Molecule: ribosomal RNA, 233 nt
Filed under: uncultured bacterium
Lineage: Bacteria
Description: partial 16S ribosomal RNA
Rfam family: Bacterial small subunit ribosomal RNA
Source: RNAcentral